Molecule: ribosomal RNA, 426 nt
Filed under: uncultured bacterium
Lineage: Bacteria
Description: bacterial SSU rRNA
Rfam family: Bacterial small subunit ribosomal RNA
Source: RNAcentral
GGACCCGCACAAGCGGUGGAGCAUGUGGUUUAAUUCGAUGCAACGCGAAGAACCUUACCUGGUCUUGACAUCCUGCGAACUUUCUAGAGAUAGAUUGGUGCCUUCGGGAACGCAGUGACAGGUGCUGCACGGCUGUCGUCAGCUCGUGUUGUGAAAUGUUGGGUUAAGUCCCGCAACGAGCGCAACCCCUAUUGAUAGUUACCAUCAUUAAGUUGGGUACUCUAUUGAGACUGCCGCUGACAAGGCGGAGGAAGGUGGGGACGACGUCAAGUCAUCAUGGCCCUUACGACCAGGGCUACACACGUGCUACAAUGGGUAUUACAGAGGGCUGCGAAGGUGCGAGCUGGAGCGAAACUCAGAAAGCCUAUCCCAGUUCGGAUUGGAGUCUGCAACUCGACUCCAUGAAGGUGGAAUCGCUAGUAAUCG